This 483-nucleotide ribosomal RNA is filed under the name uncultured bacterium. RNAcentral's name for it is "bacterial SSU rRNA". It matches the Rfam family "Bacterial small subunit ribosomal RNA", at positions 29 to 506 of the family's 1533-position model. The record is from RNAcentral.
AUUGAACGCUGGCGGCAUGCUUUACACAUGCAAGUCGAACGGUAACAGGCCUUCGGGUGCUGACGAGUGGCGAACGGGUGAGUAAUGCAUCGGAACGUGCCCAAUCGUGGGGGAUAACGUAGCGAAAGUUACGCUAAUACCGCAUAAGCCCUGAGGGGGGAAAGUGGGGGGACCGCAAGGCCUCACGCGAAUGGAGCGGCCGAUGUCAGAUUAGCUAGUUGGUAGGGUAAAGGCCUACCAAGGCCACGAUCGGUAGCUGGUCUGAGAGGAUGAUCAGCCACACUGGGACUGAGACACGGCCCAGACUCCUACGGGAGGCAGCAGUGGGGAAUAUUGGACAAUGGGCGCAAGCCUGAUCCAGCAAUGCCGCGUGUGUGAAGAAGGCCUGCGGGUUGUAAAGCACUUUCAGUGGGGAAGAACAGAUUCGGGUCAAUACCCCGGAGCCCUGACGUUACCCACAGAAGAAGCACCGGCUAACUCCGU